CAGUGAUUCCCUUAGUAACGGCGAGCGAACAGGGAAGAGCCCAGCGCCGAACCGCCGAUCGUGCAGGUCGCGCGGAAUGUGGCGUUACGGAGCAAGCCUUCCCCCGUGGACGGCGGCGACAAGUCUCCCUGACAGGAGCUCCUGCCCAGAGCGGGUGCGAGGCCCAUAGUCGCCGUGCGUCACUCGGGUGGCGAACUCCGAAGAGUCGGGCUGCUUGAGAGUGCAGUCCUAAGCGGGAGGUAAACUCCUCCUAAGGCUAAAUACGGCCGCGAGACCGAUAGCGAACAAGUACCGUGAGGGAAAGUUGCAAAGAACUUUGAAGAGAGAGUUCAAGAGUACGUGAAACUGCUCGGAAGGAAACGGGUGGAUCUUCGAAGUCCGAGCGGAGCGGGAUUCAGUGGCGGGCGGCGAGGGGUGUUUGAACUUCGUACUCCCUCGCGGGGACGAGGGGCUAGCACCGUUCUCCCGUCAGCCGCGCACUUCUCGCUCCCGGUGGACGCCGCAGCCGGUCUGGCGUCGGCAGUGAGGACUGGCCGGGCGAUGGCGUGGGCGUCGAUCUCGCAUCGGCGUCCCGAUUCUGUACCGGUCGUGUUCCCGGUGCGACGCCGGUCCGAGGGAAAGAGUCCGGACUAGUUCCGGACGUGCCGCGGUCUCGCCAUGAGAAUGGCAGAGCGGGAGAGUGGUCCGGUCCUACCGGCCGUGUCGCCCACCACGAGCGUGAGCGACCGGAAAAAGGUGAGCCGUAAGAUCGCGACCUAUCCCGCUAAGGCGAACCGAGGGCUUGCGGCGAGUAGGUCGGUAUUCCACCCGACCCGUCUUGAAACACGGACCAAGGAGUCUAACUUGUGCGCGAGUCAGUGGGACUCGAUUAAGCCCACGGGCGCAAUGAGAGUGAAUUUUUGUGUCGUGAUCCCGCGCUUCGGCGUGGGCGCAGCGACGGCCCGACUAUAAAGUUGUCCAGCGAUGCUGGCGCCGGUCGGAGCCCGAGCGUACAGGUUGGUACCCGAAAGAUGGUGAACUAUGCCCGGGCAGGUUGAAGCUAGAGGAAACUCUGGUGGAGGACCGCAGCGGUCUGACGUGCAAAUCGAU
Molecule: ribosomal RNA, 1089 nt
Filed under: Uthina muangensis
Lineage: Eukaryota; Metazoa; Arthropoda; Arachnida; Araneae; Pholcidae
Description: eukaryotic LSU rRNA
Rfam family: Eukaryotic large subunit ribosomal RNA
Source: RNAcentral